GCCAGACCUGGAAAUGACUGUGGAAAGCAAGAAGUCCCUUUGAAUGCACUGAGGGCACCAACAUCAAAGGAGGCAGCAGAUAGUGUUUUCUCUGCCCUAAAGACGCUUCGCUGAGGUGCCACCACUGCAGCCUGAAACCCAGGAGGUUCUCGAGAGUCUAAAUGUUUGAUGAUGCAGCAUUUCUGAACUCACGCAGGACCGGCCUGAAGACGCUGACAGCUACAUGACAAAUGGAGGUUUUAGCACAGAAGCAGCAGGACAGGAUCAAAGGGGAUUGUUUCGGCACAGUUUGAUCCAGUGUGGACUGAAAAUAUUGCGUUCAGCAGGAGUGGGAGCAGCAGCUAAUGUGAUGAAAUGAAAGCUGGCAGCUUAGUGAGCUGUGAAGAGGUGAAAGAGAAGAUGAAUAAUGAGGCAGAGAAGAAAAAGAAGGUAAAGAAGAAGAUGAACAUUAACCACUUUCGACUGACUCUUACCUCUUUCUGUCACCAUACGUUGCUU
Molecule: long non-coding RNA, 498 nt
Organism: Scomber japonicus (chub mackerel)
Lineage: Eukaryota; Metazoa; Chordata; Actinopteri; Scombriformes; Scombridae
Exons: 3
Source: RefSeq, a predicted model, not a curated record